AUUGAACGCUGGCGGCAUGCCUAACACAUGCAAGUCGCACGAGUGGCGGACGGGUGAGUCAUGUCUGGGAACCUGCCCGAUGGAGGGGGAUAACUACUGGAAACGGUAGCUACUACCGCAUACCCUCGGAUGUGCCCAGAGGGGAUUAGCUAGUAGGUGGGGUAACGGCUCACCUUGGCGACGAUCCAUAGUUGGUCUGAGAGGAUGACCAGCCACCCGGGAACGGAGACACGGUCCAGACGCCUACGGGAGGCAGCAGUGGGGAAUAUUGCACAAUGGGCGCAAGCCUGAUGCAGCCAGGCCGCGUGUAUGAAGAAGGCCUUCGGGUUGUAAAGUACUUUCAGCGAGGAGGCGUUACUCGCAGAAGAAGCACCGGCUAACUCCGUGCCAGCAGCCGCGGUAAUAC
This 406-nucleotide ribosomal RNA is filed under the name uncultured bacterium. RNAcentral's name for it is "partial 16S ribosomal RNA". It matches the Rfam family "Bacterial small subunit ribosomal RNA", at positions 30 to 526 of the family's 1533-position model. The record is from RNAcentral.